CCUACGGGGGGCAGCAGUGGGGAAUAUUGCGCAAUGGGGGCAACCCUGACGCAGCAACGCCGCGUGAUUGAAGAAGGCCUUCGGGUUGUAAAGAUCUUUAAUCGGGGACGAAUUUUGACGGUACCCGAAGAAUAUGCUCCGGCCAACUACGUGCCAGCAGCCGCGGUAAUACGUAGGGAGCAAGCGUUAUCCGGAUGUACUGGGUUGAAAGGGCGUGUAGGCGGGUAUGCAAGCCGGAAGUGAAAUCUGGGGGCUUAACCCCAGAACUGCGGUUGGAACUGCGUGUCUUGAGUGCUGGAGAGGCAGGCGGAAUUCCCCGUGUAGCGGUGAAAUGCGUAGAUAUGGGGAGGAACACCAGUGGCGAAGGCGGCCUGCUGCACAUUAACUGACGCUGAGGCGCGAAAGCGUGGGGAGCGAACAGGAUUAGAUACCCUUGUAGUC
Molecule: ribosomal RNA, 441 nt
Filed under: uncultured bacterium
Lineage: Bacteria
Description: partial 16S ribosomal RNA
Rfam family: Bacterial small subunit ribosomal RNA
Source: RNAcentral